This 301-nucleotide ribosomal RNA is filed under the name uncultured bacterium. Its description in RNAcentral is "partial 16S ribosomal RNA". It matches the Rfam family "Bacterial small subunit ribosomal RNA", at positions 509 to 807 of the family's 1533-position model. The record is from RNAcentral.
CAGCAGCCGCGGGAAUACGGAGGGAGCUAGCGUUGUUCGGAAUUACUGGGCGUAAAGCGCGCGUAGGCGGUUACUCAAGUCAGAGGUGAAAGCCCGGGGCUCAACCCCGGAACUGCCUUUGAAACUAGGUGACUAGAAUCUUGGAGAGGUCAGUGGAAUUCCGAGUGUAGAGGUGAAAUUCGUAGAUAUUCGGAAGAACACCAGUGGCGAAGGCGACUGACUGGACAAGUAUUGACGCUGAGGUGCGAAAGCGUGGGGAGCAAACAGGAUUAGAUACCCGUGUAGUCCCUGUCUCUUAUAC